Molecule: ribosomal RNA, 1794 nt
Filed under: Triticum aestivum (bread wheat)
Lineage: Eukaryota; Viridiplantae; Streptophyta; Magnoliopsida; Poales; Poaceae
Description: partial small subunit ribosomal RNA
Source: RNAcentral
AUGGCGGACAGCGGCGGGGUCAGCGCCAACAACGCCGCCGCCGGCAACGACGACGAGGAGGGCAACACCGCCCCGUUCCCCGAGACGGUCCAGAUAGGAGGAUCUCCCGAGUACAGGGUCGAGAGGAAGCUCGGCAAAGGCGGCUUUGGCCACGUCUUUGUCGGCCGCCGCCUAACCGGUGGCAACGGCCGCGGCGCCGGUGCUCACGAGGUUGCAAUCAAAUUCGAGCACAACACCAGCAAGGGCUGCAACUACGGCCCUCCAUACGAGUGGCAUGUCUAUUCUGCUCUUGGAGGUACUCAUGGUGUGCCCAAGGUGCAUUAUAAAGGCCGGCAGGGUGACUACUAUGUCAUGAUCAUGGAUAUGCUGGGGCCUAGCUUGUGGGAUUCCUGGAAUUCAGCAGGGCAGACCAUGUCAUCAGAAAUGGUAGCUUGUAUUGCUGCAGAGGCCAUUUCUAUCCUGGAAAGCAUGCAUUCUAAAGGAUAUGUACAUGGAGACGUCAAACCUGAGAAUUUUCUUCUCGGUCAGCCUGGAACUCCUCAAGAAAAGAAACUUUUUCUUGUAGAUCUUGGAUUAGCAACAAAGUGGAAAGAUCCUGCUACUCAACAGCAUGUUGAUUAUGAUCAACGUCCGGAUGCCUUCAGAGGAACAGUCAGGUAUGCUAGUGCCCAUGCGCAUUUAGGAAGAACUGCAAGCAGGAGAGAUGACUUGGAAUCACUGGCUUAUACACUAGUAUUUCUCCAUCGAGGCAGGUUGCCAUGGCAAGGAUACCAGGGUGAUAAUAAAUCAUUUCUGGUGUGCAAGAGAAAGAUGAGUACCUCACCUGAUAUCCUUUGCGGCCUCUGUCCUCAACCUUUUAAGCUAUUUCUUGAGACUGUAGUCAACAUGAAGUUUGAUGAGGAACCAAACUACUCCAAGUUGAUUUCUUUGUUCGAUGUUCUAAUUGGACCAAACCCUUCCAUCAGACCAAUCAAUACCGAUGGAGCCCAAAAGGUAGGGCAGAAGCGUUCUAGGCUGCUUAAUGACGACGACGAUAGCAAUGCAAGAAAGAAGAUUCGCCUGGGUGUUCCAGCAACACAGUGGAUUUCAGUGUAUAAUUCUAGAUCACCCAUGAAACAGAGGUACCACUAUAAUGUGGCUGACAAUAGGUUAGCGCCACACGUGGAGAAAGGAAAUGAGGAUGGUCUGCUGAUAAGCUCAAUAUCAUCAUGUGUUGAUCUUUGGGCAAUCAUCAUGGAUGCUGGAACUGGCUUCACGGAUCAAGUCUAUGAGCUGUCUCCACAUUUCCUUCACAAGGACUGGAUUAUGGAACAAUGGGAGAAAAAUUUCUACAUCAGUUCUGUUGCUGGCGCCAAUAUCGGAAGCUCUCUUGUAGUGAUGUCCAAAGGCACACCAUACACGCAGCAGUCCUACAAGGUGAGCGAUUCCUUCCCGUUUAAAUGGAUAAACAAGAAGUGGAAGGAAGGCUUCUACGUGACGUCGAUGGCGACAUCAGGCAGCCGAUGGGCCAUAGUCAUGUCGCGCAACGCUGGGUUCACCGACCAGGUGGUGGAGCUGGACUUUCUGUACCCGAGCGAGGGCGUCCACCGGCGGUGGGACAACGGGUACCGGAUCACGGCGAUGGCGGCGACCGUGGACCAGUCGGCCCUGAUCCUGAGCAUGCCGAGGCGCCGGCCUCGGGACGAGACGCAGGAGACCCUGCGCACGUCGCAGUUCCCCAGCGCGCAUGUCAAGGACAAGUGGGCCAAGAACCUCUACCUCGCCGGGAUCUGCUACGGGCGAACGGUGGCGUAG